Molecule: ribosomal RNA, 478 nt
Filed under: uncultured bacterium
Lineage: Bacteria
Description: partial 16S ribosomal RNA
Rfam family: Bacterial small subunit ribosomal RNA
Source: RNAcentral
GACGAACGCUGGCGGCGUGCUUAACACAUGCAAGUCGAACGGUAAGGCCCUUCGGGGUACACGAGUGGCGAACGGGUGAGUAACACGUGGGUGAUCUGCCCUGUACUUCGGGAUAAGCCUGGGAAACUGGGUCUAAUACCGGAUAGGACCACUGCCUGCAUGGGUGGUGGUGGAAAGCUUUUGCGGUGUGGGAUGGGCCCGCGGCCUAUCAGCUUGUUGGUGGGGUGAUGGCCUACCAAGGCGACGACGGGUAGCCGGCCUGAGAGGGUGACCGGCCACACUGGGACUGAGAUACGGCCCAGACGCCGACGGGAGGCAGCAGUGGGGAAUAUUGCACAAUGGGCGCAAGCCUGAUGCAGCGACGCCGCGUGAGGGAUGACGGCCUUCGGGUUGUAAACCUCUUUCAGCACCGACGAAGCGCAAGUGACGGUAGGUGCAGAAGAAGGACCGGCCAACUACGUGCCAGCCGCCGCGGUAA